CCUACGGGGGGCUGCAGUGGGGAAUUUUGGACAAUGGGCGCAAGCCUGAUCCAGCCAUUCCGCGUGAGUGAAGAAGGCCUUCGGGUUGUAAAGCUCUUUCGCAAGGGAAGAAAACUUAUCCUCUAACAUAGGAUGAGGUUGACGGUACCUUGAUAAGAAGCACCGGCUAACUACGUGCCAGCAGCCGCGGUAAUACGUAGGGUGCGAGCGUUGCUCGGAAUUACUGCGCGUAAAGCGUGAACUCAGUGGUGAAAGCCCCGAGCUCAACUUGGGAACUGCGUUUGAAACUACAAGACGAGAAUAGGUCAGAGGGGGGUAGAAUUCCACGUGUAGCAGUGAAAUGCGUAGAGAUGUGGAGGAAUAUCAAUGGCGAAGGCAGCCCCCUGGGAUCAUAUUGACGCUCAUGCACGAAAGCGUGGGGAGCAAACAGGAUUAAAUACCCGAGUAGUC
This 450-nucleotide ribosomal RNA is filed under the name uncultured bacterium. RNAcentral describes it as "partial 16S ribosomal RNA". It matches the Rfam family "Bacterial small subunit ribosomal RNA", at positions 338 to 795 of the family's 1533-position model. The record is from RNAcentral.